Non-coding RNA from Rattus norvegicus (Norway rat), 7593 nucleotides. The record is from RefSeq and is a predicted model, not a curated record. Lineage: Eukaryota; Metazoa; Chordata; Mammalia; Rodentia; Muridae.
GAACUCUGGGUGUGUCAGAGCUCCUGGAAAUCUAACUGCCUCUGGAAUCCUGAAAUCCAGGUAUGACCAAGCUCCAGGAAUCCUAUUGAGUGAGCGCUCCUGGGAGUCAAACUUUCUCAUGGUAUUUCAGGAGUGAGAAGGGAGCCAGAGCCUUGGCUUUGCACCAAACACAGGUGCAAGGUAGAAGGAACCUGUGCCUCUGGCAGGUGGGGUUAGGGUUUCCCUGGUUCCUGUGGAUGUUUCAGUGAUGCUAGGUUUUUGGAAAGAUGUUGUGACCUCAGUUUUUAUCUUGAGAGUAUCAGAGGUCCAGUGCUUCUGGUUGUAUCUGAUCUUCUGGGAGUUCAGCUUUAUCUGUGAUCCUGUGAUCCUGUGAUCCUGGAUUUCAAAGCACCUCUGACCCUGAGCUUGUUAGAGCGCCUGGGAGUUGGGCUUCCUCUGGGUGUUGUUGAACUGGGUGUGGAGCCAGAGCCAAGGUCUGCUCAGGGCACUGACUCAAACUGGAAGGGACCCAUGCCACUGGGGAACCCAGUUAUUCUGGGUGUCAGGGCAGAUGUUAUGUCCUACUCACCUCUGGUCCUGGGCAUGUUAGAGCUCCUAGAAAUUGGAUUUCCUCUGGGUGUUGUGGGACUGUGUUCAAAGACAGUGCCCAAGGUUUGCUCAGGACAAUGGUUCAGGCUGGGAGGGCUUUUUCUUCUUCUUCUUCUUUUUUUUUUGCAUUCCAACAAAGUUCUUUAUUCCAAGCUUCAAAGUAAAUGUCUAGAAAAUAGACACAUUACACUGAAGUAAAAAUUUUAAUUUGUGAUAAUUUUAAAAAAUUUUUUAUUAGAUAUAUAAACUUUACUUACAUUUCAACCGUUAUUCUGCUUGCUUCCCGGUUUCCUAUCCAUGAACCUCCAUUCCCUCCCCUCCCCCUCCUCCAUACAGGUUUAAAAUUCCUUUUGUUUAUAGUUUCCCCUCUUGUGGUUUGAAUAGGUAUGGUGUCCAUAGAUUCAUGCAUUUGAAUGUUUAGUCCAUAGAAAAUGGCAACAUUAGGAAGGUUGGCCUCCUUGGAGUAGGCUUAGCUUUGUUAGAUGAAGUAUGUCACAGUUGGGGAGGAUUAUGAGGUCUCCUAUACCUAAGCUUUGGUCAGUGGCAUAGUCUUUCUCUUUGCUGCCUGGAGAUCAAGAUGUAGAACUCUCAGCCUCAUCUCUACUACCACAUAGGUCUGUAUGCUGCUGUGAUUUCUGCCAUGCUGAUAAAGGACUAAACCUCUGUAAGCCAGCCCCAAUUAAUUGCUGUCCUUUAUAAUAGAUGUCUCAGUUAUGAUGUCACUUCACAGCAAUAAAACCUUAAGUAAGUUGCCUCCCCCAAAUUAUGCCAGAUCCUUCCCACAUACUUUCCCAUACAGCUUCAUGUUCUUCCUCUCUUUUUAGAAAACAAAUGACCCUAGAAGUAAACAAAACAGAUAAAUAAUAAAAAGCAAUGCAAAGAAACAUGCAAACACACACAUACAUACCCACAGGCACAUAUGUAUACACAUGCACUCCUGCAAGCAGACAUCCAUAUGAACAUAAAUUCUGAAAGCCUAAUAUACAAUCAAAAGGUGUACAAAAACACCACUGAGUUUGUUUUGUGUUGGAUACAUAUUUCUUUCUGAAUAUGAGACCUAUUCUUAAAUAUCAUUAAUAUGCGUAGUAGACAGCAUUGAAAGAACUGUUUUUUCCUUUCCAAGUUGAUGUCAGUUGGAGAUAAAUUCUUGGUGACAGAUGAGAGCUCGUGUGUACUUCCCCUUUUUAUGCUUGAAGAUACUGUCUUUCUGAAACCUCUACAGACCCUGGGCAUGAGACCACAGCCUGUAUGGUUUCAUAUUAUAUCCAUCAGUUUGGUUGUAUCUAAAAGACACUGUUUCCUUGAACUCCAUCCUUUGAGUUCUCAUAGUCUCUCUUCCUGGACUGCCACAUACUCUGAACCCUGGGGAAGAGUUUCAAGGAAAAAUCCAUUUAGGACUGAGCACUUUUAAGUCUCAAGUUCUUUGCACAUUGUCAAAUUAUAGGUUACUGUAUUAGUUCUAGUGCAAGAUGUUCCUGAUGACGACUGAGAGAUUCUGAUUUAUAGUUAUAGCAGAAUGUCACUAGGUGCCAUCUUGGUGCUGGGUUCCUUUAGCAAAAUAAUAAUAUUUAAUUUUCCUUGGAUUUCUUGUCUUGAUUUAUGAGCUCAGAUAAGGACUGGACUAAGACUCCAUUAUUGUUUGCAGAGUACAGACUUUGAAAAAAAGAGAUAGUAUCCAGAAAUAUGCACUGUUUUUUCCUGUAUGCAAAAAAUAUGAUUCCUAAUAUAAACAAUUUGUCAAACCACUGUUUUCAACACAUACCUAGCAGCACCCCACUCUCCCCAACAAAAUGCACUACUACAAGAUUAUGCUGCAACUUCUGUUGUGAAGGAAAAAAUAUCUUCCCUUAAAACCCUAGUAACUCAUUCAUUUGAGAAAUGCAAGGGAGACAACCUAUUCCUUAGACAUUCUGAUGAAAGUUGAUUACUUCAUUGCAUUUAUUUUACUAGCUGGUAUCUCUUUCUUAUUUAUGAGAAAAGGUGUCUCAGAGAUACUUGCGGUAAGAAACAUGCAGUGGGAUGAAAGAUAAUAGUAAUGUCUUUUUUAAUGUUACUCUGUAUUUUGCAGUUGUGUUUUAUAGUUGUUUGCUCUAUAGUAAAAUUUUAUAUUUUUAUUUCUUUCUCCCUAAAUUCUGCACACAUAUACACAAAUUUAUAUAUUCAAUUUUUAUAUUACAAUUUAAAAAGAAAUCUGCUUUUAAAUUUAACUGGGACUGAAUUUAAUGAACCAACACUUGGAAUACAUAUUGUAGAAUUAUAAACCUCUGCAUGUAUUACCAUUCCUCAGUGUGUUAUUUUUGUGGACAGUUUAUUUCAGCAUUGCAUUGAAAUAUUUCUUUUUGUAUUUCUGCUUUACUACAUGAUCAAUGAUUUCUACUCUAUAAUAAUUUAGAUUUUUGCUGUGCCUUAAACGUAUUGGUUUCUAUGAUAGCCACAACUAAUAUUUGAUAUUAUAUUCAAUCCAUCUCCUAUUUAGAAAACAAAAAUGUAGAAGUGCUAUCACAUUGAUCAGCGAUCUUAGUAUGUUCUGAGUCUCUAACUGAGACUUUAACUUCUAAAUUAGUGUUGUCCUACACAGCAGUGAUCUUGAGAAAGUGUAGAACAAUGAGAUACUUUUCCCUAUUGUUUAUUUAUGGCAACUAGAUUUAAAAAUGUUACCAUCUGGCUCUUCUGGGCCCUAAGAACUAUGACUGUGAUAAAAAUUUUUACCCAUGAUGGUGAUGAAGAACAAAAGAAACGCGAAAGCAGAUGUAGUUAUUUCCUUAAGUUUUCUGAUAUUCUUUUUAUUUUCAGUAUAAAAUGUGAUUUCCUUACAGAAAACUUUAGACUUUAACAUGUAGCUAUGUUCCAUUCACAUUUCUUCUUUCAAGUAUAUUACAUACACAGGAUCCAUACUCACCUUAAUAAGUUCAUUAUCUAGUUUUCCUGCAUUUUUCAUGCAUCCUUCACAAUACUGUUCAGAGUAACACAGGUAAUUAGAUAAGUAGAGACUGUACAGUCUGUGAAUCAAAAUUAUAAGAAGAUCUAACUUUUUUUUGCAACAUGUGUUUUCAGAUUGCUGAGGAAAUUUGACCUGAUGAUAAAUCUUUCAUACUGAGCAGACUUUAAUCGUAAAUUAUGGACUAAAUUUCAAACUACUUAUUCUCUUAUGACCUGUCUUUGAUCUUGGAUUUGUGUCUCAAACUAUAAAUUUACAAGAGGAAAUGCUAGUCUUUAACAGAAUCUACCUUUAUGGUGCUAUAUUUAGGCCAUUAACUUAUUAAAUGAGGAUUUUGUAGCCCUAGAAAAGCACUUCAAAAAAUUUUAGUGAAGUAUUAUACAAAUUGUGGAUAUAUUCAUACAAUGUUUGCAAAUAAGUUUCAAGAAAUAAAAGCUAUUUAUUAAUUUAAGUAACAAAAUUAAAUAUAAGUUAAAUGACUUGUUUCUGUAUUAGUGUAAUUUCUGACAUAUAUUAGUGUUUUCUUCUUUAAAACAUAGGACACAUACUGGUCCACAGCUACCAUAAAAGGAAAGUGAGUGCCCUAGUGGAACAUGAUGGUAUUACAUUUUUAAUGAAAAUAUUUCCAGUUAUUUUUUAUUUUAUCAGUUUCCACAAUUGUCUUCUCUUUAAUUAUAAAUUAGAGUAAGACAUUUACUUUUCUCAUGCUUCUAACUGAUUCAUUGUCCAACAUCAAAAGGAAGAAAAUCCCUUGGCCCUGUGAAGGUUUGUUUCCCCAGUGUAGGGUAAUGCCAGAGCGUUGAGUUUGGAGUGGGUGGGUGGUAGUAGGAGCAUCCUCAUAGAAGCACAGAUAGGGGGAAGGUGGUAUGGGAUAGUAGGGGAAAAUGAUAACAUUUGAAAUGUAAAUACAUAAACGAUCCAAGAAAAUUAAAAAUUUUAAAAAAUUCGCAAAUAAUUACUUUGUUUCCCAAAAGGCUUUAAUUUGUAAACAACAUUCAUAGCAGUCUUUAUUCCUUUUUGAGAGUGAGUUUCUAAGUCACACUGAUGCAUAUGUCUAUAUAUAGAUUAAAAUAUCCAUAUAUUUAUGUAAUCAUGUGCAAUAUAUAAGGAAUAAGAAAGCUUUUAGGAAAAAAUAUUUUCUGGAAAUAUAAAGAAUUCUAUUUUAAUGGCCAGAUAAUUUUUGCCUUUUAUAAUAAAAAUAGUGAAAAUAGACUUUUAUGUCAUUUCAAAAUACCUCAACAAUGGAAAUGGCUCAGUGUGCAAACACCAAGCCUGGUUACCUGAGUCUUUCCUUCAUUAUUAAUGUCAACUUCUCAAUGUAUAAUUUACCCAUUAAUGUAUGGCCAUUAAAUACAAAACAUCACAGUCUGUCAAUCACACAGACUUUUAUUAUUGGUACAAUAGUAGUACAAGAGAUAUGGUGUAGUCAACUACUUCUUGUUUGAAUUUAGACCCAUUCGAUGAGAUGAAAUACAUAUAUCACAUUGCUAAAAUGGAUAAGACCUGAGACUACAUAGGUUGUGUGUUUAGGAGAACCCUAAUGCUAUAAUUGUGCUAAAGGGAUAUAGCAAUAAAAUGACUCCUAAUGAUAUCUGGCUAUACUUAUAGAUCAGUGGAUUGCUCAACCCAAAUCAUAGAACCUUGUUUUUGUAGAAUAUAGGAACUAAUAGACAUCCAAGGUAGAUAAUGUACAAAGACUGAGCACUCAGUUGUGGUACUCAUCAAGCCCCAUGUCCUUCAAGGCUAAGGGAACUAAGAAGGAGGAGGCAGAAAUAUUUUAUGAACCAGAAGUGAGUGAUGAUUGUAAGCAAAUAAAUGAAAGAACCAAGACACAUAACUCAAAAGACUGUGAAUGAGAAAAAGACAUGCACAGAUUCUAGCCAUACUGGGUCUCUGCACUUAAAGAAUUUAGACACGGGGGCUAAUUAUUACCAUGAAGCUUUUUGUGAUUGAUAGCUGCUGAGAAGGUGAAUGUCCAUUUUCUCCAAUGGAGUGUCACUGAGUAUAUCGAUCCUACUCCCAGACGUGACCUGUGCACAUGAGUAUGCCAACACAAAUAAAUUUCAUAUUUAUUUGGUUUGCUUUGGUUUUGUGUCUAGAUAUGUGUGAACUUAUUGUUUCUCUGUUUGCUUGUAAUGUCUUUGUCUGAUCUGGUUUAUUUUGUUUUGUUUUUUGCUGUAUAUUCAGAUUUUCAUUUCUUUGUUGUUUAUUUUGCUACUUAUUUUUGGAAAGAAGAGAGGAAGAACCUGAAGUUGAGUGGUUAGGGAGGUGCAGAGAUGUGAAGAUUUAGGAAAGGAGAAGUUAAUGAGAUCAAAAUAUAUUGUAAUGAAAAUAUUUUAGAUAAAAGUUUAAAAAGCUUCACUAUCUCAGUGUCAGCAUAUACACUUAUCAUCACUUUGAAGUGGAGACGUCUGGUUUCUUUGGAGAUUCAGCUGUGUAAUGUGAUGCUUUGCUGGAAUCUGUCUUAUGAGAGGACAUUUUGCUGAGGCAGGCACAUGAGAUGAUGUUCCAUGAUGUUUGGAAAGAAUAUAAGCAUAACCCAACAGAGCAUGAACAAUGCUUGUAGAUUGGUAUGUCUUGCAACCCUUUGUUGCUCUUUGCUUGCCAUGACUUCAUAGAUAGAAAAGCACCAAAGAACUCAUAAGAUUCUGGCUGCUGCUUGAUACUUCUUCAGACUCCUCCCAAUUGGCUGAGCCACAUGGUUUCUUCUGCAUCAACCUACUGCUACUGAUAUGUUUGGUGUUUUGGACUCUACUGCUGAUAUCCUGACAAUGAAGAUUGGAAUUAAACCAAAGGACUACUACCAAAAUGUCCACAACCCCCUUCUCCUAUAAACCUUCUUCUUCCCUAUUUCUGGUCAGUGGUCUAAAACAGAGAUUGAAGUGUUUAAAAACCCUUAUCAAAGUAGGUUUUGAAAAAUCUUAGCAUGCAUCACUGUCUAUACUUGGAAACUCUAAUAUUAUUGGACAUUUUCAUGAAAAUUGUAAAAUUUUUAAAUUAUUUAUUUCUUUUUGGUCUAACUUUUAUUUAUUUAUUUUAAUUACACAAAUUUUAAUAUAUUUAAUAUGUAUAAAUCAUUAUUGCUUCUCUUUGAGAAGUAUCUGAGUAGUUAUUUAUUCAGGAAUAAUAGUAUCCUGCAGAAGAAAGACAUUAGAUAUUUGGGAUCUUUGUGGUGAUGAGGUUAACAGAAUUAUUUUCCAUUAUUCUGUGGUAUAUGGUUCUAACAUCAUGUCUUCUUUUUUCCUCAAACUCCAGAAAUAUCAGUAUGAAAAUACAGUUGGGAAGAUGGGAAGUUAAACUGGCCCUCAGAAAGUACCACAUGCAUAGUAGAAGCUGGAAUUAUUUAAAAUUAAUUCAAGGACAUUAGAGUCUUUAUACCACCAAAUCAGAUCACAUGAAGCUCAUGAAGAAGGAAGACCAAAGUGUGGAUGCUUCAGUCCUUCCUAGAAGGGGGAAGAAAAUACUCACAGGAGGAAAUACAGAGACAAAGUGUGGAGCAGAGACUGAAACGAGGGCCAUCCAGCGACUGCCACACCAAACCAAGACUUUAUUGCAAAUGCCAAGAAGUGCAUGCUGACAGGAGCCUGUUAUAGCUGUCUCAUGCAAGGCUCUACCAGAGCCUGACAAAUUCAGAGGCAGAUGCUUGCAGUCAACCACUGGACUGAGAAUGGGGUCUCCAAUGAAGGAGUUAGAGAAAGGACUGAAGGAGCUGAGGGUUUGCAACCCCAUAGAAAGAACAUUAAUCAUCCAGAGCCCCAGUGCUCCCAGGGAUUAAACUACCAUCCAAAGAGUACACAUGAUGGAACCAUGGCUCCAGCUGCAUAUGCAUCAGAGGAUGGCUUGUCAGGCAUCAGUGGGAGGAGAGGCCCUUGGUUCUGUGAUGGUUUGAUGCCCCAGUAUAGUGGAAUGCCACAGUAGGGAGAUGGGAAGGAGUGGAUGGGCAGGUGGGGAAACUCGCAAAGAAGGAGGGAAAAGCAGCUUUCUAGAGGGGAAGUUGGGAAAGGGGCUAACAUUUAAAACGUAGAGAAAAUAUCCAAUAAAAGACAAGAAAAAGAAUUCUCAAGAAA